CGCGGGAUUGGGGCACGGGGGGACGGGGCGCAGCAGGCGCGAAACCUCCUCAAUGCACUAACGUGCGAAGGGGUUACCUCGAGUGCUACCUGAAGAAGGUGGCUUUUCCUUGGUCUAAAAAGACUCGGGAAUAAGAGGGGGGCAAGACUGGUGUCAGCCGCCGCGGUAACACCAGCCCCUCGAGUGGUGGGGAUGAUUAUUUGGCCUAAAGCGUCCGUAGCCGGCCGGGUAAGUUUCCCGUUAAAUCCAGCGUCUCAAGCGUUGGACUGCGGGAAAUACUGCCUGGCUAGAGAGUGGGAGAGGUCAGCGGUAUUCUGGGGGUAGGGGCGAAAUCCUUUGAUCCCCGGAGGACCACCAGUGGCGAAGGCUGCUGACUAGAACACGUCUGACGGUCAGGGACGAAAGCUGGGGUAGCGAACCGGAUUAGAUACCCGGGUAGUCCCAGCCGUAAACGAUGCAUGCUAGGUGUUGGGUUGGCCACGAGCCACCCCAGUGCCGCAGGGAAGCCGUUAAGCAUGCCGCCUGGGAAGUACGAUCGCAAGAUUGAAACUUAAAGGAAUUGGCGGGGGAGCACCCACCAGGCGUGAAGCCUGCGGUUUAAUUGGAGUCAACGCCGGGAACCUUACCGGAAGCGACAGCAGAGUGAAGGCCAGAUUGAAGAUCUUGCCAGACGAGCUGAGAGGAGGUGCAUGGCCGUCGCCAGUUCGUGCCGUGAGGUGUUCUCUUAAGUGGGAUAACGAACGAGACCCGCGCCACAUGUUGCCAUCAGAAUCUAAAGGAUUGCUGGGCACUCUUGUGGGACCGCAGCCGAUAAGGCUGAGGAAGGGGCGGGCAACGGCAGGUCAGUAUGCCCCGAAUCUUCCGGGCCACACGCGGGCUGCAAUGGUAUGGACAGAGGGCUGCCACCCCGAAAGGGGGAGCCAAUCCCUAAACCAUACCUCAGUUGGGAUUGAGGGCUGCAACCCGCCCUCAUGAACAUGGAAUGCCUAGUAACUGCCAGUCAUCAUCUGGCGGUGAAUACGUCCCUGCUCCUUGCACGAAUUCGCCGAAUCACUAGU
RNAcentral lists this ribosomal RNA (1058 nucleotides) under uncultured crenarchaeote. RNAcentral describes it as "bacterial SSU rRNA". It matches the Rfam family "Archaeal small subunit ribosomal RNA", at positions 302 to 1362 of the family's 1478-position model. The record is from RNAcentral. Lineage: Archaea; Thermoproteati; Thermoproteota.